AGAGUUUGAUCAUGGCUCAGGACGAACGCUGGCGGCGUGCUUAACACAUGCAAGUCGAACGGAAAGGCCCUUCGGGGUACUCGAGUGGCGAACGGGUGAGUAACACGUGGGUGAUCUGCCCUGCACUCUGGGAUGAGCCUGGGAAACUGGGUCUAAUACCGGAUAGGACCGCAUGCUUCAUGGUGUGUGGUGCAAAGCUUUUGCGGUGUGGGAUGAGCCCGCGGCCUAUCAGCUUGUUGGUGGGGUAAUGGCCUACCAAGGCGACGACGGGUAGCCGGCCUGAGAGGGUGACCGGCCACACUGGGACUGAGAUACGGCCCAGACUCCUACGGGAGGCAGCAGUGGGGAAUAUUGCACAAUGGGCGCAAGCCUGAUGCAGCGACGCCGCGUGAGGGAUGACGGCCUUCGGGUUGUAAACCUCUUUCAGUAGGGACGAAGCGAAAGUGACGGUACCUACAGAAGAAGGACCGGCCAACUACGUGCCAGCAGCCGCGGUAAUACGUAGGGUCCGAGCGUUGUCCGGAAUUACUGGGCGUAAAGAGCUCGUAGGUGGUUUGUCGCGUUGUUCGUGAAAACUCACAGCUUAACUGUGGGCGUGCGGGCGAUACGGGCAGACUAGAGUACUGCAGGGGAGACUGGAAUUCCUGGUGUAGCGGUGGAAUGCGCAGAUAUCAGGAGGAACACCGGUGGCGAAGGCGGGUCUCUGGGCAGUAACUGACGCUGAGGAGCGAAAGCGUGGGUAGCGAACAGGAUUAGAUACCCCGGUAGUCCAA
Molecule: ribosomal RNA, 773 nt
Filed under: uncultured bacterium
Lineage: Bacteria
Description: bacterial SSU rRNA
Rfam family: Bacterial small subunit ribosomal RNA
Source: RNAcentral